Molecule: long non-coding RNA, 1197 nt
Filed under: Bos indicus x Bos taurus (hybrid cattle)
Lineage: Eukaryota; Metazoa; Chordata; Mammalia; Artiodactyla; Bovidae
Description: lncRNA (ENSBIXG00005006114.1)
Source: RNAcentral
ACCCUGGGCUCUGAUUUCUCAGACUCGAAGUUUUUGCCCAACUUUCCCCCACCCCCACCUCCCAACCCACCCCUAAUCUGCUCCUAUUCCCUUUUCUCUGGCCACCGGAUUUCCAGUUCUUCCAGCGCACUACUCAAGCCCCGAGAAAGCAUCUGUAAACUCAACUCCAGAACAACUGGCUUCAUGUUUCUCUGAGGCUGAUGGUAAACCACAAUCUUCCUGGAACACCUGGAAAGCUUAAACUGGUUAUUCUCCCCAUCCCUGAGAAAGGAUGAUACCGUCCGUCUACUCUGAGUUCUGAAGAUCAACACACUUCUCCAUGCUCUUGUUUGAAGAGAAUUUGUCUUGGCUGGGACCCCAUCUGUAGCUCUUGAGACAGAGACAAUUUCCUGGGGACUCUCAGGCCUGACAACUAGACAUUUAAUCCUAAAAUCCCAUGGAGCCAGUUGGUUAUUGAAGACCUUAAGGCAAUAUCAUGAUGUUUUAAGAGCAGACUCCAGAUCUGAUGGCCUGAAUUCAUACCAACUCUUAGGUAAGUUAUUCUGUAUAAAUUUUUACCUCUCUGAGCCCCAGUUUCCUCAUUUGUAAAAUGGGUAUAAUAGCAGCUUUCUUGUAGAUGGUCAUGAAGAUUAAAUGUUACAGGUAAUCCACAUUAAUUGCUUAAUACAAUUGCUUGGUGGUUAGUAUACAUUAUCUAUAUAGUGUCAUUUGUCCUUCUCAUAUUCAAAUAUCUUUAUGAUUUCAUUGUUACAGUGCCUGCUAGUAGAACUGAUGGUGUGUUAAGCAACAGGGAUCAAUUAUCUUCCUGACAAAGUGUCAUUAUCUCAUGGGCCCAGAUAUAGUCAGAGAUAGCCUGAUCUCUUAGCAAUAUUUGCCAUGGAUAUGGGAGGAGGAGUGCCAGCAUAUAUGCUUCUUAGUUGUCAUUCUUUUCUGUAGGCCUCUAGGAGGUAAGAACUGGAAUAAGGAAGCCUCAACUGUGUGAAUGUCAGGGGGAAGCAGCCAGUAAAGGGGGAUGUCUGGAUAGAGGAAGCAGAGCACCAAGAGGAUCAGGACAGCUAGGAAAUGCUCGGGAGGUGGAUUGGGAAGGAUGUAAAGCAGAAGAUGGCAUUCAGAAAGCUAAAUUUACCAGUUUUAGGAGAUUUAAAGCUGGGGUGGUGGCACCAAAGAGGGAAUUACUGAUUUUUUGUGGGUGAAGGA